Long non-coding RNA from Hylaeus anthracinus, 1600 nucleotides. RefSeq lists it as uncharacterized. The record is from RefSeq and is a predicted model, not a curated record. NCBI's taxonomy places the organism in Eukaryota, Metazoa, Arthropoda, Insecta, Hymenoptera, Colletidae. The transcript has 4 exons.
AUGGUGUACCGAUCAACUAACCCGUUGCGUAGGUUGACGCAACGAAGGUGAUCAAGAUAUUGUUCGGAUACCUUGACAAGAGGUGGAGGAGGACAGCAACCACAUGGCGCACAGGGACCGGUGCAUUUCAGCAACUUGCGUUGUUGCUCCAGUUGCUGACGUUCUCGCUGCACGUUAGCAAGUUCUAUCUGCAUGUUGCGUACUUCGCAUUCUAUAUUGCCCAGCUGUUGUUCCUAGAAUUGUUGUCAACGCAUAAGUAUGUAAAAUUGGAGCAAAACUCAGUUAUGAGUAAUUAUGUAACCAAGUUGCCCAGCUACCAGUUACAUAAUUACUCAUAAUUGCUUAGAGCAACAAGCGUGUCCCUGCGACUCGUUCAUUAAGACUCAAUUAUGUUUUGUAGAUGUACUAUCUGUUUGGUGUUGGUGCCAUAGGAUGCAAGUUGGUUCUCCAGUUCCGCGGGACACGUCCCUCUCGGAGGUGGACACGGCUGGCAUGGCGGCUUAACAGCGGCUGGACUGCGACAACACAUUCCGUCGACUUGCGAAGAAGCACUGCUCUCGGUACAAGCUUUUGUUCUUGACGCGCCACCCGCGAGUCUAGGAUUGAGGACUCGUUGUCCAAUUGAAUGGAUAUGUACCGCAUACGGAAUUGCCUCGCGGUGACAAACUGUCAGCGAAUGGUGGCUGAAGGCAACACUUGCACGGACAGUAAUCGUCGUCCUGCUGCACCGUAGUGGUGUACGAAUACGAACGAAAAGGAGACGGGCUUGAUGUUGGAGAGGUUUCGAGUGCGGAUACGGUAGCAUGUCGAACAUUUUCGAAAAGGUGACGCUAGAGAAAUCGGACAAGCCCAGCGAACGUUGCACCUUCCUGGUUAUCUCCUCGAAUUCUGCCAGCUUCGACAUGAUUUCAUUCUGCUUCGACUGAAUCGCCAUUGUGUCCUCCGCCGUUAAAUCCUUUUUCUAUAAAACGACACAACGAUAGCAAAUAAACGAAACACCUGGAAGUUAAACGAGUGUCGAGAUAUAUUUUAGAAGGCAUUACCACGGUGAGCUGAGAUAUUUCAAGUUUUAAUGUUUCAAUCUCUUUCGCCAGCACAGCGCAACGUUCGUCUGCUUUCUUCAGUUCUUCCUGUACAGCGGAGUCUGUCAAAGGAGAUGAGCUCAACACGGAUUCCACUCUACCACCAGGCUUGAUCGGGACACCUGGAUAAAAAAUACGUUAAUCGAAUUAAUUUUAAGUAAUUAAUCAUUGUAUACUAAAAGAAACUAUUUCUCUCAGGUAAAUUUUGAUCCAUUAUGUAUUAUAAUUCUGUUACAAGGGGUGCACCUUCACCAACACCAGGCGGAAGCGGAUAUUCUGGAGGCUGGCCUUCUUCAAACUUCUCUGUAGCCCCAUCAUCGACUUCAUCUACCGCUGCAUUGUCCUCUUCUUCUGGUACAGUUUCCUCUGGCGUGUCACCCUCGACAUCUUCAAACUCUUCUUCAGCAACUUCUUCUAACGCUUCUCCCUCGUUUUCAGCCAUGCUGAAAUGAAAUUAAUUUAGCGACGAAAUAACUGCCGACACAUAACUGAAAAUUAAAUGUAUUUUACGUCGAUAA